AGAGUAGUAGUAGCUCCACCUCCUAUGAUGCCUUAUCAGAUUCCACCAGCUCAGCCUCCAAAUCCGGCCUUUAGACAUAACUCGCCUAUGCCAAAUGGAAUUCAAUGUUAUCCAUCUCCAUACCCAGCUAUGGUACGCUCAAGACCCCACCGAUGGGACUCCUAGAGGCUUUGGGUUUUUUGAAUUUGAAUCUGCUGAGGGGGUUCUCCGUGCAUUGCGAUUGCAGAGUAAAUUUAAUAUUGACGGACAGGAACUUGUGGAUCUUUGGGACUCGAUGGCUUUAAAUGUGCUUAAUCAAGCCUCUGGUAUGUUAUCCUCAUUUGUGAAUUUCUUGCCGAUUUUGCUAUUCUUUGAUAAUUAUUUUCAGAGGGUAUAGGAGGUGUUAUCAUCAACCUUAUGCAUUUUCCAUGUUUUUCUCACUGUCACUGAUCGGUCAAUAAAUAAGAGGCUUAAAGGUAACAUAGCAAAAUGAGAAAUGAAAACUAAAAAUUGGUUGCAUACCUGCCUAAUUAGGACAUUAUUGCUAGAAAUAACAAAUAAUGCACUUAGAACUUAGAGAGGAUGCUUUCCUUCAUGUCUUAAGUAGGUGAGUAGUUCUAAUCAGUGCUUUCCUAGCACAGGACAAAAAUAAAUUUCUAUAUGGUGCAUAAAGCAGCUUGCAAAACUUUGUCUCACAAUCUUGGUUUUUUGAUUUUUUGUAUCUCGAACAUUAAUUGGCUGGCAAUUCUUACUUUAUGGUUGAUGCUGCCUGCGAGUGUUCCACCUACUCAACGUGGUUGUUUAUGAGCUUUUUCGUUAUUGUUUAAAUAGUUUUUUCUAAUCUUAGUUCAUUGCAAACAAGUCAUUGGUUAUUGUUGGAUUUAUUUUGGAAUCCAUUUUACUAAGUGGUCAAAAUCAACUAGAAAUAUGUUAUUGUUCACUCCUCAAAUAUUGUUUGUGUGAUUUUCCUCUUAAAUCCACUUCAAAAUUUUAUUACCCUCGUUUUGAAGAAAAUGACUGAUAAAAGAACUUGAUCUAAUCUCCUUUGCCCUGAACAUUAAUCACCGUUCAUUGCCUUUGGUGACAAAUAUGACAACCGGGAAGAAGAACAACUAACCGUUGAACUCCACCCCAAGAUGGGAAACAAAUGUUUACCCAUUACUGCACAUGAAUACUUCUAUGAUAGCCAUAUAUGGACCCAAUUAAAUGGGUUGAUGGUGAUGUUAAAUAAAAAAUUGAGGUAUGUCUAUGAUUUAUGAAUAUUUCAAUUUCACUUAUUUGGAUCUCAAAUUGUUUUUGAACUUCUUGCUACUUGUUCAUCUACUAAUUCAUCAUAUUCUUAUAACUUCAUCAUUAUAUGUCUCCCUCAUUGAACCGCGGUUCGAGAUGUUUAAAAUUUUGAAUCGACCCUUGAACCUCUAGUUCCGGUUUCAACACGGUUUUAAUGAAUCGACGGUUCGAAUUACG
Molecule: long non-coding RNA, 1446 nt
Filed under: Jatropha curcas
Lineage: Eukaryota; Viridiplantae; Streptophyta; Magnoliopsida; Malpighiales; Euphorbiaceae
Description: long non-coding RNA (JCUR_LNC001796)
Source: RNAcentral